RNAcentral lists this ribosomal RNA (1058 nucleotides) under Staphylococcus sp. PM-EG05. RNAcentral's name for it is "bacterial SSU rRNA". It matches the Rfam family "Bacterial small subunit ribosomal RNA", at positions 56 to 1100 of the family's 1533-position model. The record is from RNAcentral. Lineage: Bacteria; Bacillati; Bacillota; Bacilli; Caryophanales; Staphylococcaceae.
UGCAGUCGAGCGAACAGAUAAGGAGCUUGCUCCUUUGACGUUAGCGGCGGACGGGUGAGUAACACGUGGAUAACCUACCUAUAAGACUGGGAUAACUUCGGGAAACCGGAGCUAAUACCGGAUAACAUAUUGAACCGCAUGGUUCAAUAGUGAAAGGCGGCUUUGCUGUCACUUAUAGAUGGAUCCGCGCCGUAUUAGCUAGUUGGUAAGGUAACGGCUUACCAAGGCAACGAUACGUAGCCGACCUGAGAGGGUGAUCGGCCACACUGGAACUGAGACACGGUCCAGACUCCUACGGGAGGCAGCAGUAGGGAAUCUUCCGCAAUGGGCGAAAGCCUGACGGAGCAACGCCGCGUGAGUGAUGAAGGUCUUCGGAUCGUAAAACUCUGUUAUCAGGGAAGAACAAAUGUGUAAGUAACUGUGCACAUCUUGACGGUACCUGAUCAGAAAGCCACGGCUAACUACGUGCCAGCAGCCGCGGUAAUACGUAGGUGGCAAGCGUUAUCCGGAAUUAUUGGGCGUAAAGCGCGCGUAGGCGGUUUUUUAAGUCUGAUGUGAAAGCCCACGGCUCAACCGUGGAGGGUCAUUGGAAACUGGAAAACUUGAGUGCAGAAGAGGAAAGUGGAAUUCCAUGUGUAGCGGUGAAAUGCGCAGAGAUAUGGAGGAACACCAGUGGCGAAGGCGACUUUCUGGUCUGUAACUGACGCUGAUGUGCGAAAGCGUGGGGAUCAAACAGGAUUAGAUACCCUGGUAGUCCACGCCGUAAACGAUGAGUGCUAAGUGUUAGGGGGUUUCCGCCCCUUAGUGCUGCAGCUAACGCAUUAAGCACUCCGCCUGGGGAGUACGACCGCAAGGUUGAAACUCAAAGGAAUUGACGGGGACCCGCACAAGCGGUGGAGCAUGUGGUUUAAUUCGAAGCAACGCGAAGAACCUUACCAAAUCUUGACAUCCUUUGACCGCUCUAGAGAUAGAGUCUUCCCCUUCGGGGGACAAAGUGACAGUGUGCAUGAUGUCGUCAGCUCGUGUCGUGAGAUGUUGGGUAGUCCCGCACGAGCGCA